UCAUCCUCUGAAGACCAUGAAUAUUUAUAUAGCAUCUCAUGGCAAUCCAUCAGAGAGUUGUUGACACAUUUCAGUCUGUACCAAAGUGGUGGACCGACCAACCAACCAACAGACCAGAAUUGCCAUCUCUAGAGCCACAUGCCACUAGCAUGGCUAAAAAUCCAGUUCCUAUAGAUGCGUACAGAAUGAGGUUCAUUACCAGUUAUUUUCUGUCCAGUUGAAGCAGCUCUAAUGUGCUGGUAAUUGUCCUUUCCUCUUUUAUUUCAGAGUACAAUAUUUGCCCUGAAGAUGCCAGGUGAAAGCACUAAUGCUGCAGUUCAAUGUUCAGGUGAAG
Molecule: long non-coding RNA, 334 nt
Organism: Siniperca chuatsi (mandarin fish)
Lineage: Eukaryota; Metazoa; Chordata; Actinopteri; Centrarchiformes; Sinipercidae
Exons: 3
Source: RefSeq, a predicted model, not a curated record